Molecule: non-coding RNA, 2055 nt
Organism: Macaca mulatta (Rhesus monkey)
Lineage: Eukaryota; Metazoa; Chordata; Mammalia; Primates; Cercopithecidae
Source: RefSeq, a predicted model, not a curated record
UGCAUAGGUUGGGGAGUUCCUGCUCCCGGGUGUCCCACAACCCACACUUCUACCCUACCUAGACUGGCCUGGGGUGAUGCCGACCAUGAGGCUGAUCAUCCUGCACUGUGCACUGUGACUGGCAGGGGGCGCUGAAACAGCCUUUUCUGCCCCCACGUGGUGCGCAUGCGUGUUCUCACCACAGCCGCUGCGUGUUGUGCGUGGCGUGGCGUCCAUAUUGAGUAGAAGGAGAGCAUCUCUGGCUCUUUCAGGAUCCGCUUGAGAAGGCACCGCUGCGGUUUGGGAACGAUUUGGAGACUUGUCCUGGGGAGGAAACAGCUCCUGCCUGUGGCCCUGACUGCCUAGGUGGGAGCUGCGUGCAACUCACCUUCUCCCGGGCAUUUUUUUCCUACAUGGUUUCUCCAAGUGGUUGCAGAUGACAUGAUUUCCUGAAGUGUUACAGCUGAAGUGUGUUUCCUUGUGUAUAUAUACUGUGGUUCCUUUAUCCAUUCAUCUGUGGAUAGACAGGUGCAACCGUGUGGUUCCCCAUGAUAUGAUUUCAUUGUGGUUUUCUGUCUGAAGAGUAUCCCGGUGUGAACAUGUGGAACAGUUUCUUUCUCCCUUCGUCUGUGGAUAAGCAGAUGUGGUUAGCCUGAAUUCCUGAUGCUCACCAAGGUGUGUAAUGUUGUCCAAGGCCCAGUGCAGAGGAACACAGGUGUUGCCGUCAGACUGCCAGGGUCCGAUCCCGCCUCCAUCACUCACCCCGGGAGCUCCCUUUAAGCCAGGAGUCAACAGCGAGAUGGAAACAUGAGUGCUUUUUAAAGUCCUAAAAGUUCAGAGGAUGACCGUGAAUUUCUCCUGCACCCCUGGGCACACACCAGGAGAACUGUGUCUCCAGGUUCAACAGAAAACACACACAGCCAAGCCCAGAUGCCAGUCUUGCUAGCAGCCUUCCUUUACCUUCGAGACUGGGCCAAGGCUCACAGUACUUUGGAAUCUCAUGCUCGUAACAGUCUGCAUUGGAAGAGAAAUGGAGAGAGGAGAAAACUUGAGAAUCCACACUACUCACUCUGCAGGGCCAAGAACUCUGUCUCCCGUGCACUGCUGAUCCAUCUCAGUAUUUCCUAUGACCACUUCCUUUUUCAACUGAAGACUCUGCACCUGAAGGGGUUCCCAGGUUUUUCACCUUGGCCCUUGUCAGGACUGAUCCUCUCGGCUACUGUCCAUUUCACCUCCAUUCAUGUCCAUGCCACAUCAGGCUGUGUUGUCCAGAUGGAAUGAAUCCACCCCAAAUGUCCCUUUCUGGAGGAAGCCACCAUGAUGCUGUACCUCCAACACGUCCACACACACCGAGGCACCUCGCUCACGCAAGGUGUGUGUCCUCCAACCAAGUUUCAUGCUGUAAACCCAGGAAACUUGUGGAAGAUCCUGAAGGGUGACAUCUUUGAGGGAGCCUGAGACACAGCGAGACAAGCUAAGAAGGAGGGCAGUGCCACAGCAGAACUGCUAUUGAUGCCCCCUCACCUAGAUUCCAGAAGAGACAUCCAGCUAUAGACACUGAGGUGCAGGAAAACAGUGGAGCACCCAGCACCCAUCAGAGAAAGCAGUGCCCAGGAACAUGGAGGCACUGAUGGUGGCAAGGGGAAAAGACAGCUGCCAUGAGGCUGUUCUCAUGAGGGUCUCAGGCUGCACAGACACCCACAUUGGCUGACGGGUACUGGUUUUCAUAAGGGUGUGGCUCAGCCAGGCCACCAACAAGCAGUUAACAAACAGUAGUAAUACGACACUUCCAAAGACCUUACUUGAGUAACACGGUGAUCCUCACAAAUUUCCAAUCACGACGGUCGCACAGUUCCUUCUGUUUUAGGACAGAGCCUGCCCGUGUCUGUCCUGUCUGUUGACCACGGGUCAGAGGUACCGGCUGCACUGGGGAGUAAGAAUGUCACCUUCUCAACUUUGGGAAAACUCCCUGCUAGAACUGAGAAUGGCCCUUUCUAAGCAGAAGGCAAGCUCAGACUAAAGGAGGAGGCAGGCCGGGCGCAGUGGCUCAAGCCUGUAAUCCCAGCACUUUGGGAG